GACGAACGCUGGCGGCGUGCUUAACACAUGCAAGUCGAACGGUGAAGCUCCAGCUUGCUGGAGUGGAUCAGUGGCGAACGGGUGAGUAACACGUGAGCAACCUGCCCCUGACUCUGGAAUAAGCGCUGGAAACGGCGUCUAAUACUGGAUACGAGAAGGGUCCGCAUGGGCACUUUCUGGAAAGUUUUUCGGUUGGGGAUGGGCUCGCGGCCUAUCAGCUUGUUGGUGAGGUAAUGGCUCACCAAGGCGACGACGGGUAGCCGGCCUGAGAGGGCGACCGGCCACACUGGGACUGAGACACGGCCCAGACUCCUACGGGAGGCAGCAGUGGGGAAUAUUGCACAAUGGGCGAAAGCCUGAUGCAGCGACGCCGCGUGAGGGAUGACGGCCUUCGGGUUGUAAACCUCUUUCAGCAGGGAAGAAGCGAAAGUGACGGUGCCUGCAGAAGAAGCACCGGCUAACUACGUG
Molecule: ribosomal RNA, 468 nt
Filed under: uncultured bacterium
Lineage: Bacteria
Description: partial 16S ribosomal RNA
Rfam family: Bacterial small subunit ribosomal RNA
Source: RNAcentral